Molecule: ribosomal RNA, 254 nt
Filed under: uncultured bacterium
Lineage: Bacteria
Description: partial 16S ribosomal RNA
Rfam family: Bacterial small subunit ribosomal RNA
Source: RNAcentral
UACGUAGGGUGCGAGCGUUGUCCGGAAUUAUUGGGCGUAAAGGGGCUCGUAGGCGGUUUGUCGCGUCGGGAGUGAAAACUCAGGGCUUAACCCUGAGCCUGCUUCCGAUACGGGCAGACUAGAGGUAUGCAGGGGAGAACGGAAUUCCUGGUGUAGCGGUGAAAUGCGCAGAUAUCAGGAGGAACACCCGUGGCGAAGGCGGCUCUCUGGAACGCAACUGACGCUGAGACGCGAAAGCGUGGGGAGCAAACAGG